GACGAACGCUGGCGGCGUGCUUAACACAUGCAAGUCGAACGGAGAGGCCCUGCUCUUGUGGGGUGCUGGGGUGGCGAACGGGUGGGUAACACGUGAGUAACCUGCCCUUGACUUUGGGAUAACUUCAGGAAACUGGGGCUAAUCCCGGACAGGAGCUCCUGCUGCAGGGGGGGGGUUGGAAAGUUUCGGCGGUUGGGGAUGGACGCGCGGCUUUUGAGGUUGUUGGUGGGGUAGUGGCUUACCAAGGCUUUGACGGGUAGCCGGCCUGAGAGGGUGACCGGCCACAUUGGGACUGAGAUACGGCCCAGACUCCUACGGGAGGCAGCAGUGGGGAAUAUUGCGCAAUGGGCGGAAGCCGGAUGCAGCAACGCCGCGUGCGGGAUGACGGCCUUCGGGUUGUAAACCGCUUUCGCCUGUGACGAAGCGUGAGUGACGGUAAUGGGUAAAGAAGCACCGGCUAACUACGUG
RNAcentral lists this ribosomal RNA (468 nucleotides) under uncultured bacterium. RNAcentral's name for it is "partial 16S ribosomal RNA". It matches the Rfam family "Bacterial small subunit ribosomal RNA", at positions 28 to 507 of the family's 1533-position model. The record is from RNAcentral.